UAGGGAAUCUUCCACAAUGGACGAAAGUCUGAUGGAGCAACGCCGCGUGAGUGAUGAAGGGUUUCGGCUCGUAAAACUCUGUUGUUGGAGAAGAACGGGUGUCAGAGUAACUGUUGACAUCGUGACGGUAUCCAACCAGAAAGCCACGGCUAACUACGUGCCAGCAGCCGCGGUAAUACGUAGGUGGCAAGCGUUGUCCGGAUUAUUGGGCGUAAAGCGAGCGCAGGCGGUUUUUUAGGUCUGAUGUGAAAGCCUUCGGC
RNAcentral lists this ribosomal RNA (260 nucleotides) under uncultured bacterium. RNAcentral's name for it is "partial 16S ribosomal RNA". It matches the Rfam family "Bacterial small subunit ribosomal RNA", at positions 355 to 608 of the family's 1533-position model. The record is from RNAcentral.